GAUGAACGCUGGCGGCGUGCUUAACACAUGCAAGUCGAACGGGAAUUACUUUAUUGAAACUUCGGUCGAUUUAAUUUAAUUCUAGUGGCGGACGGGUGAGUAACGCGUGGGUAACCUGCCUUAUACAGGGGGAUAACAGUCAGAAAUGGCUGCUAAUACCGCAUAAGCGCACAGAGCUGCAUGGCUCAGUGUGAAAAACUCCGGUGGUAUAAGAUGGACCCGCGUUGGAUUAGCUGGUUGGUGGGGUAACGGCCCACCAAGGCGACGAUCCAUAGCCGGCCUGAGAGGGUGAACGGCCACAUUGGGACUGAGACACGGCCCAGACUCCUACGGGAGGCAGCAGUGGGGAAUAUUGCACAAUGGGGGAAACCCUGAUGCAGCGACGCCGCGUGAAGGAAGAAGUAUCUCGGUAUGUAAACUUCUAUCAGCAGGGAAG
This 436-nucleotide ribosomal RNA is filed under the name uncultured bacterium. RNAcentral describes it as "bacterial SSU rRNA". It matches the Rfam family "Bacterial small subunit ribosomal RNA", at positions 28 to 447 of the family's 1533-position model. The record is from RNAcentral.